AGACCGCCGAACUGACAGGGUUUUCCCUGUACCGCGGACAGAGUCUCCCCUGUACGUUCUAGGCGUCGCAAUCAAUACAAUGUACAAAAUUCCAACCAGGAACACAUUUCAAUCAAGAUUGCAUAAGGAAGGUAUCAAACAACAUAAACAGCUAAACUAUUACAAGCAUUCACAUACAUGCUUCUACAUUUCAAUUACUUAUUACAUUUAACUUCCAAAAUGCGAUCUAAGUUAUUACAAGUUUAUUACAACUUUUACCUUUUUCCUUCCCUCUACCCUUAGACUAU
RNAcentral lists this long non-coding RNA (287 nucleotides) under Ananas comosus (pineapple). Its description in RNAcentral is "long non-coding RNA (ACOM_LNC001879)". Lineage: Eukaryota; Viridiplantae; Streptophyta; Magnoliopsida; Poales; Bromeliaceae. The record is from RNAcentral.